This is a long non-coding RNA of Oncorhynchus tshawytscha (Chinook salmon), 674 nucleotides long. RefSeq lists it as uncharacterized. The transcript has 2 exons. NCBI's taxonomy places the organism in Eukaryota, Metazoa, Chordata, Actinopteri, Salmoniformes, Salmonidae. The record is from RefSeq and is a predicted model, not a curated record.
CCACGCUCUCUGACACGUAUAUGUAAAGAGCCUCACUAUACCUCUAGCUAUGCCUUACCUAUACAGUGCAGCCCACUGUCCCACUAUCUGAAUUCAAAUGACACUAUAUGGAUUUUUCUCUCAAGCGCGCCCACGAAUACGCGUUCACGUUUGGCAGCUCCACGUCGACAUUCUUCCAGCUGUGCACAGGGCUGAAAGAAGAAGAGGUAAAAGCGGCGUGAAGCCAGCUAUACGAACACUGUAUGUAGGCUCCAACGAGGGACGUCAACCGCGAAAUGGUGAAGAGGAAAAUCUCCUGGUUUUUUUUACAGUUAGUCCUGCAACAAUUGUAUAUAGCCCACUGUUUUUUGUUGUUGCAUUUUAUGAUCUUUUUGCCCUCGUGCUGGAUUGCAGCUGGCCCCCUUUAACAGCUCUCACUUCUGCCAGGUGAAGGAGUGGUGAAAUGGGUUGGCACAAAGGAAUAGCCUACGAUGUGGCACUCUGGCUUUCCAAGUAAAGUUCUGUGAUACACUUCGACUCUAAUUGUUUGCAGUCAGUGCAUUACAGAACUUUGUUUUGGGAGUUAAUGCUCCGGCCUGCGGGAAACAAACCUACCAUCUGGAGAGUGGAACCAUUAUUUCACAUGCCACUUGCAGACUGCAAAAGGGAGAAUAAAGUUUUUAUUUUGACAAUGA